Molecule: long non-coding RNA, 130 nt
Organism: Amblyraja radiata (thorny skate)
Lineage: Eukaryota; Metazoa; Chordata; Chondrichthyes; Rajiformes; Rajidae
Exons: 3
Source: RefSeq, a predicted model, not a curated record
GUGCGUCUCCUUGCAUUGCUCACCGUUCCAGCAGGCUGCGAUGAGGAGACGUGGGCUAGGACGAGGCGGGUGGAAGAGCCCACUGUCGAGAAUCAAGGCCGGUUCGUAGAUCACUCAAUCGACAUAGAAG